RNAcentral lists this ribosomal RNA (253 nucleotides) under uncultured bacterium. Its description in RNAcentral is "partial 16S ribosomal RNA". It matches the Rfam family "Bacterial small subunit ribosomal RNA", at positions 524 to 776 of the family's 1533-position model. The record is from RNAcentral.
UACGAAGGGGGCUAGCGUUGCUCGGAAUUACUGGGCGUAAAGGGCGCGUAGGCGGCGCCGCAAGUCGGGCGUGAAAUCCCCGGGCUCAACCCGGGGGCUGCGCCCGUGACUGCGGGGCUAGAGGGCGGGAGAGGCUCGCGGAAUUCCCAGUGUAGAGGUGAAAUUCGUAGAUAUUGGGAAGAACACCGGUGGCGAAGGCGGCGAGCUGGCCCGUUUCUGACGCUGAGGCGCGACAGCGUGGGGAGCAAACAGG